This is a transfer RNA of Loxodonta africana (African savanna elephant), 59 nucleotides long. It matches the Rfam family "tRNA". From Rfam's summary of the family: Transfer RNA (tRNA) molecules are approximately 80 nucleotides in length. Their secondary structure includes four short double-helical elements and three loops (D, anti-codon, and T loops). Further hydrogen bonds mediate the characteristic L-shaped molecular structure. tRNAs have two regions of fundamental functional importance: the anti-codon, which is responsible for specific mRNA codon recognition, and the 3' end, to which the tRNAs corresponding amino acid is attached (by aminoacyl-tRNA synthetases). tRNAs cope with the degeneracy of the genetic code in two manners: having more than one tRNA (with a specific anti-codon) for a particular amino acid; and 'wobble' base-pairing, i.e. permitting non-standard base-pairing at the 3rd anti-codon position. The record is from Rfam. Lineage: Eukaryota; Metazoa; Chordata; Mammalia; Proboscidea; Elephantidae.
AGUGGUUAAGCGUUUGGCUGCUAACCAAAAGGUCAGCAGUUCAAAUCUACUAGCCUCUC